AACGCGCCACCGAAACUAAGGAACCGAAAGGUUGGUAGAGGAGCAUUGCAUGCGGGAAGAAGCAGUACCGUAAGGAGCUGUGGACUGCAUGGAAGAGAGAAUGCCGGAAUGAGUAGCGAGAAUAAGGUGAGAAUCCUUAUGGCCGAAUAUCCAAGGUUUCCAGAGUAAAGCUGAUCUGCUCUGGGUAAGUCGGGGCCUAAGGCGAGGACGAGAGUCGUAGCCGAUGGACAACAGGUGGAGAUUCCUGUACUGCGGUAUGACAGAACUGUGGGGACACGUAAGGAAAGCGGAAGCCGGGAAUGGAAAGCCCGGUGCAAGCGGGGUACCAGUCACUUUGGCAAAUCCGGGUGGCAAUGGGAAGCCGUGAUGCGGAGUGAAAUAAAGUAACGAAGUCCGUGAGCCAUGCGUCAAGAAAAGCCGCUAUUGUUUAUACCGUACCCGUACCGUAAACCGACACAGGUGGAUGAGGAGAGAAUCCUAAGGCCGGCGGAAGAAGCAUUGUCAAGGAACUCGGCAAAAUGACCCCGUAACUUCGGGAGAAGGGGUGCCUGCGAGAGCAGGCCGCAGAGAAUAGGCUCAAGCAACUGUUUAGCAAAAACACAGGUCUAUGCGAAACCGAAAGGUGAGGUAUAUGGGCUGACGCCUGCCCGGUGCUGGAAGGUUAAGAGGAGAGGUUAGCGGUAACGCGAAGCUUUGAAUUUAAGCCCCAGUAAACGGCGGCCGUAACUAUAACGGUCCUAAGGUAGCGAAAUUCCUUGUCGGGUAAGUUCCGACCCGCACGAAAGGCGUAAUGAUUUGAGCGCUGUCUCGACAAUGCAUCCGGUGAAAUUGAAGUACCAGUGAAGAUGCUGGUUACCUGCGCCAGGACGGAAAGACCCCAUGGAGCUUUACUCCAGUCUGGUACUGGGACUCGGUAUUGCAUGUACAGGAUAGGUGGGAGGCUGAGAAAUGGUAACGCCAGUUGCCAUGGAGCCGCUGUUGGGAUACCACCCUUGCAGUAUUGGGUUUCUAACCAGCCGCCGUGACCCGGCGGUGGGACAAUGCCAGACGGGGAGUUUGACUGGGGCGGUCGCCUCCGAAAGGGUAUCGGAGGCGCCCAAAGGUUCCCUCAGAAUGGACGGAAACCAUUCGAAGAGUGCAAAGGCAGAAGGG
This 1152-nucleotide ribosomal RNA is filed under the name human gut metagenome. Its description in RNAcentral is "bacterial LSU rRNA". It matches the Rfam family "Bacterial large subunit ribosomal RNA", at positions 1185 to 2365 of the family's 2925-position model. The record is from RNAcentral.